GAUGAAGAACGUAGCGAAAUGCGAUACGUAGUGUGAAUUGCAGAAUUCCGUGAACCAUCGAAUCUUUGAACGCAAAUUGCGCUCGAGGCCUCGGCUAAGAGCAUGUCUGGCUCAGCGUCGGCUUACUACCCUCAAUCAAUUACCUUGGGAUGAUUGGUUGGAGCUGGCUUUCCGGUGUUCCAAUCAGGUUGCCGGUCAGCUGAAAAACAUUCACGCUGUGGAAGUCGCUUUCCCUUCAAAAAGGAAAGCCGAGUUCCGAUUUGGUAGGUGACCUUUGCCGGUUGCAUGCCUUCGUUGCUCGUUUUGGCUUUCAUGAUAGCGUGUGCAGGACGCCAUUUUGGCUUUCGACCUGAGCUCAGGCAAGAACACCCGCUGAACUUAAGCAUAUCAAUAAGCGGAGGA
Molecule: unclassified non-coding RNA, 402 nt
Filed under: soil metagenome
Description: partial contains 5.8S ribosomal RNA, internal transcribed spacer 2, and large subunit ribosomal RNA
Rfam family: 5.8S ribosomal RNA (bases 1-120)
Source: RNAcentral